AGCAGCCGCGGUAAUUCCAGCUCCAAUAGCGUAUAUUAAAGUUGUUGCAGUUAAAAAGCUCGUAGUUGAAUUUCGAGACCGGUUUAUUGGUCGUGCUUUUGUACGUACUGGUAUAAUCAGUUUCUCUCUUCUGACGAACCAUAAUGCCAUUAAUUUGGUGUUAUGGGAAAUCAGGACUGUUACUUUGAAAAAAUUAGAGUGUUUAAAAGCAGGCUCACGCUUGAAUACAUUAGCAUGGAAUAACGAAAUAGGACGUUUGAUUUUAUUUUGUUGGUUUCUAGGAUCGACGUAAUGAUUAAUAGGGAUAGUUGGGGGCAUUAGUAUUCAAUUGUCAGAGGUGAAAUUCUUGGAUUUAUUGAAGACUAACUACUGCGAAAGCAUUUGCCAAGGAUGUUUUCAUUAAUCAAGAACGAAAGUUAGGGGAUCGAAGACGAUCAGAUACCGUCGUAGUCUUAACCAUAAACUAUGCCGACUAGGGAUCGGAUGAUGUUAAUUUUUAAUGACUCAUUCGGCGCCUUAC
Molecule: ribosomal RNA, 520 nt
Filed under: uncultured Glomus
Lineage: Eukaryota; Fungi; Glomeromycota; Glomeromycetes; Glomerales; Glomeraceae
Description: SSU rRNA
Rfam family: Eukaryotic small subunit ribosomal RNA
Source: RNAcentral